AUCCUUUAGUGAACACGUCGGCUAUUUGUUCCUUCAAAGUCACAUGCGAGACACUUAAAAGACCGAUCCACUAUUUUCUCCUUUAUGAAAUAUCGAUCAAUCUUUAUAUGCUUGGUCUGAUCAUGUUAAUCUGAAUUAUGAACUAUACUGAUGGUAAUUUUGUUGUCUCAAAAUAAGGACAAAUUGUUUGCUUCUAAUAGUCUCAUUUCCACCAUCAAUUUCUGCACCCAUGACAGCUCGCAAAUACCCUGUGCCAUAGCUCUGUAUUUUGCCUUUAUACUAGAUCUUGCUAUUAUAUUCUGCUUUUUACUGCUCCAAGUGACUAAAUAGCCACCAACAAAGGUAUAAUAACCUGAUGUUGAUUUCCUAUCAUCAAAAGAUUUACCCCAAUCUGCAUUUGU
Molecule: unclassified non-coding RNA, 401 nt
Filed under: Hevea brasiliensis (rubber tree)
Lineage: Eukaryota; Viridiplantae; Streptophyta; Magnoliopsida; Malpighiales; Euphorbiaceae
Source: RNAcentral